RNAcentral lists this ribosomal RNA (491 nucleotides) under uncultured bacterium. RNAcentral describes it as "partial 16S ribosomal RNA". It matches the Rfam family "Bacterial small subunit ribosomal RNA", at positions 29 to 506 of the family's 1533-position model. The record is from RNAcentral.
AGUGAACGCUGGCGGUAGGCCUAACACAUGCAAGUCGAACGGCAGCACAGUAAGAGCUUGCUCUUACGGGUGGCGAGUGGCGGACGGGUGAGGAAUACAUCGGAAUCUACUUUUUCGUGGGGGAUAACGUAGGGAAACUUACGCUAAUACCGCAUACGACCUACGGGUGAAAGCAGGGGAUCUUCGGACCUUGCGCGAUUGAAUGAGCCGAUGUCGGAUUAGCUAGUUGGCGGGGUAAAGGCCCACCAAGGCGACGAUCCGUAGCUGGUCUGAGAGGAUGAUCAGCCACACUGGAACUGAGACACGGUCCAGACUCCUACGGGAGGCAGCAGUGGGGAAUAUUGGACAAUGGGCGCAAGCCUGAUCCGGCCAUACCGCGUGGGCGAAGAAGGCCUUCGGGUUGUAAAGCCCUUUUGUUGGGAAAGAAAAGCAGCAGGUUAAUACCCCGCUGUUCUGACGGUACCCAAAGAAUAAGCACCGGCUAACUUCGU